RNAcentral lists this transfer-messenger RNA (362 nucleotides) under Gammaproteobacteria bacterium. It matches the Rfam family "transfer-messenger RNA". From Rfam's summary of the family: Bacterial tmRNA, also known as 10Sa RNA or SsrA, is named for its dual tRNA and mRNA-like properties. Its role is to liberate the mRNA from a stalled ribosome. The record is from RNAcentral. Lineage: Bacteria; Pseudomonadati; Pseudomonadota; Gammaproteobacteria.
GGGGGCGCUUCGGAUUCGACGCCGGUAUCAACACCUGAGGUGCAUGUCGAGAGGGUAGUAACUCUCGUUAAAAAAUUACUGCAAUUACUUAGUUGCCAACGACGACAACUACGCUCUAGCUGCUUAAUAUAGCCGGCUAGCGAUUGCCACGGGGAUGCCCGUAAACCAGUGAUUGCAAUCGUCAUAUAGAACGGGACCGCUGCUAAAAGUGUCUGGCUUUUAACAGUCAAAUCUUGCCAGACUCGCCCUAACUCACCCUGCCCGUCGGGUCGAUAAGGGCUAACUCAAUAGACGACGCUAAGCAUGUAGAUCUUUAGGCCGCGAACUGACGGACGGGGGUUCAACUCCCCCCGCCUCCACCA